CUACGGGGCGCUCCAGUGAGGAAUAUUGCACAAUGGAGGAAACUCUGAUGCAGCAACGCCGCGUGGAGGAUGACGCAUUUCGGUGUGUAAACUCCUUUUAUAUGUCAAGAAAAUGACGGUAGCAUAUGAAUAAGCUCCGGCUAACUCCGUGCCAGCAGCCGCGGUAAUACGGAGGGAGCAAGCGUUACUCGGAAUCACUGGGCGUAAAGGACGCGUAGGCGGGAUAGAAAGUCAGGUGUGAAAUCCUAUGGCUCAACCAUAGAACUGCACUUGAAACUUCUAACCUAGAGUAUGGGAGGGGAAGAUGGAAUUAGUGGUGUAGGGGUAAAAUCCGUAGAUAUCACUAGGAAUACCAAAAGCGAAGGCGAUCUUCUGGAACAAUACUGACGCUAAGGCGUGAAAGCGUGGGGAGCAAACAGGAUUAGAUACCCCGGUAGUC
RNAcentral lists this ribosomal RNA (439 nucleotides) under uncultured bacterium. Its description in RNAcentral is "partial 16S ribosomal RNA". It matches the Rfam family "Bacterial small subunit ribosomal RNA", at positions 339 to 795 of the family's 1533-position model. The record is from RNAcentral.